GACGAACGCUGGCGGCGUGCCUAAUACAUGCAGGUAGAACGCACAGUUUAUACCGUAGCUUGCUACACCAUAGACUGUGAGUUGCGAACGGGUGAGUAACGCGUAGGUAACCUGCCUGGUAGCGGGGGAUAACUAUUGGAAACGAUAGCUAAUACCGCAUAAUAUUAAUUAUUGCAUGAUAAUUAAUUGAAAGGUGCAAUUGCACCACUACCAGAUGGACCUGCGUUGUAUUAGCUAGUAGGUGAGGUAACGGCUCACCUAGGCGACGAUACAUAGCCGACCUGAGAGGGUGAUCGGCCACACUGGGACUGAGACACGGCCCAGACUCCUACGGGAGGCAGCAGUAGGGAAUCUUCGGCAAUGGACGAAAGUCUGACCGAGCAACGCCGCGUGAGCGAAGAAGGUUUUCGGAUCGUAAAGCUCUGUUGUAAGAGAAGAACGGGUGUGAGAGUGGAAAGUUCACACUGUGACGGUAUCUUACCAGAAAGGGACGGCUAACUACGUG
This 505-nucleotide ribosomal RNA is filed under the name uncultured bacterium. RNAcentral's name for it is "partial 16S ribosomal RNA". It matches the Rfam family "Bacterial small subunit ribosomal RNA", at positions 28 to 507 of the family's 1533-position model. The record is from RNAcentral.